This 313-nucleotide ribosomal RNA is filed under the name Kluyveromyces marxianus. RNAcentral's name for it is "partial 26S ribosomal RNA". It matches the Rfam family "Eukaryotic large subunit ribosomal RNA", at positions 87 to 396 of the family's 3401-position model. Lineage: Eukaryota; Fungi; Ascomycota; Saccharomycetes; Saccharomycetales; Saccharomycetaceae. The record is from RNAcentral.
CGGCGAGUGAAGCGGCAAAAGCUCAAAUUUGAAAAUCUGGCGUCUUCGACGUNCNAGNNNNNAUUUGAAGAAGGCGACUUUGUAGCUGGUCCUUGUCUAUGUUCCUUGGAACAGGACGUCAUAGAGGGUGAGAAUCCCGUGUGGCGAGGAUCCCAGUUAUUUGUAAAGUGCUUUCGACGAGUCGAGUUGUUUGGGAAUGCAGCUCUAAGUGGGUGGUAAAUUCCAUCUAAAGCUAAAUAUUGGCGAGAGACCGAUAGCGAACNNGUACAGUGAUGGAAAGAUGAAAAGAACUUUGAAAAGAGAGUGAAAAAGU